CAGCGUCACCACGAGGCAGCCCGUGCUUACCGACCCACCCACUCGCUUCCACACGCACACAUAAACAGAGAGAAAGAGGCGCACAUUAGCCCGAGAAUUAGAAACUGAAAGCACCGCCGUCAGCGCGUGCCAUCUCCAUCACGGCGUGGAGAGAGACAUACAGAGGAGCGAAGCAGCCUUUCCCUCCCCCUCCUUCUGUGGGCGUGCGUGCCCUCCAGCGUGUUUGAGCGCAGAGCCCAUACCAACGAGAACGCCAUUGAAGGCGUCAAGGACGGCCGCUGCUGUUAUCCAGUGAAGGACACGUACAUACGCAUGUAUGCACAUAAAUAGAGGCUAAGGGUGCACCCCCUUCCUUUACCCCCAGAUCGUCUAGUGAUGAUGCAGGAACAGCAGCAUCCACGUCCUCGAGGCACUCGCGGUACCUCAGAGGGUGUUUACGUGAGCUCGGGCGUCAGUAUGGCUCACCAUGCGUCCCGUGCACUCCUCCGCAGGCGCCUCGGAGCAGGGAAGCGCUCUCGCGCCAUCGCGGGCGCCCUUCUGGCGCUCUUUUUCUUCAUCUACUUCCUCGCUUACCGCAUGAGAGGUGGCACAUUAAUUGAGGAUCUGGAAGUGCGUGGCGAUGGGAUCAAUAAGCAAGGAGGUCCCAACUACACGAGUGUCACUGAGCCGUCUUCCGCGACAACAGUUGCUGCUGUUGCCACCACCACGGAAGCGCCGUUCCUUUCUCCGACUUCCACCGAACCACCCGCUCGAUCUCAGGUGUCGCCAACGAUGACGACCACAAUCUCUGCUCCACCUGCCCUACCUCCCGCAACGGGUUACAAGAACACCCUAGACUCACAGGAUCGGCGAACGGCGCGGCCAGCGCCCGUUUUCGAAGACGCCGCGAGGCAGUACGAAGAGGGCGAGUACGUCCCAGAGGAGCCGCACCUCCUGCCUGGGCUGCAGAUCCAGCGACGCACCUUCACGCCGGCGGAGCUGCUUGAGCGCUUCGGCGACACGGACAUCAUCUACAGCUUCGUCAACGGCAGCGAGGCGAACCACUGCUACCGCAAAGUCAUGUCGAUGUGGUGCUUACCAAAAAUACGGCACCUGGAAAACGCGACGUACUGGGAGGGCGGUCGCCUCCCUCCUGCGUGGCAGAGCAUGAUGGCGAGCAACACGCCGACGUGCCUGCCUCCCUACCUGCGAAAUGCGUACGCCAACAUUCACUCGACGCGCGACUUCGUCGCCAUGGUGGCGGGUAACGCACGGCCUGGCAUUGGCGAUCGCGAGACGGACGAGCUGCGGCACAGCCUGCGCAGCGUGGAGCAGCACGUGCGGUGGCACCGCGGCCGCGUGGUGAUGGUGUCGCCCGGGCACCACCCGACGUGGGUGGACGGCGCGAAGAACUUCCUUGCUGGGAUGUGCGGCGGUGCGCGCGUGCAGGCGCUGCGGUCGAGCGGGACGCACCUGCGCGUGACGACUGUGCACCAGGACGCCGUGAUGCCGUACGGGAUGCGGCUGACGGUGGACUCGCACGUGAUCGAGCAGCACCUGUGGCGCGUGCGCAACAUGACACCCGUGCACGUGUACAUGAACGACGACUACUUUGUGAACCGCGACGUUGCGAUCACGGACCUGUUCAACGAGUACGGCGGCACGAUUGUGCGGACGGAGAGGGGCAUCCUGCAGAAGGGCGUUCUGGGGCCACCUUCCGGCGGCACCUGGUCGGAAGGUGUUCGUAACACACACUUGUUCAACAUCAUGGAGCUGGACGUGCUGCGCGAGGACUACCUGCCGGAGGCCCUCGAGCGGCAGUGGUCUGCUGAACGGGUGCAGCGUGGGGCCUCUGGCGCGGGCGACCGAGUGCCGCCGAUAGCGCUGAAUGACAUGGUCGAUGCUGCGUACGCGCACGUUCCUGCGUCCAUGCCGCCGACGGCACUGCCGCGUCGCCAUCGCCGAUACGCCACCCACGCGCCGUUCGUGUACUGCACGAACAUGCACCGGUUCCUGCAGACGCGGUACGCGGCGGAGUUUGCCUACAACUCCCUGCAUCACCGAAGGCGAAGCGCCCGAGACCUCUAUGUCCCGUUUGUGUACAACGCCUUUAUCAUGGCGCGGCCGUGGCAGGCGUCGCCGAAGUUCCUGCCGUACCUGCUGGAGCUGCACCGGAGCCGACGACAGGGGCGGGCGGACGCGAUGCCGCCGACGGAGAUCGUGCUGGACAACGUCGACGGCUGCGGCCCCGCAUCGCUUCGCGGCGGCUUUAUGGCCUCCGAGUGCGUGUUUGCCAAGUUCCUAGAUAACACGACUUCGAACGAGGCGGUGGUGGAGCGCGUGCGGCAGGUGAACCCGCUGUACUUCAACAUCAACGCCGGGUUCAGCAGCGCGGAGGCUGCGGACCAGCUGCGCCGCUUCCUGCACGGCAAGUUUCCGACUCCGGUGUACCUGGAGGUGGGCGGAGCCCCGCCCCCCGGCGAGGGCCUCGUAGACGGCGCGGGGGAGGUGGUGGGCGGCAGGACGAGGGCUGCCGGGGCCGCCGCGGCUGCUGAGGAGGAAGCGCUGUCGAGGCUGUUUGGCGACCUGAUGGCGCUGCCGGUGGUGGGCGUUGUGUCGUAUGAGGAGGGCGUGUGCCCGCUUGUGCGGAGCCUUGCGCUUGCGUUCGCGGGGCACCACCGUGGCGGCGUGCGUGUGAGCGUGGAGCAGCACGGCGGCGCGGCGCUGCGUGAGGCGCGCGCUGCGCUUGGGCACCGCGUGGUGAGCGCGAUGCCUGCGCCUGCGUGCGCGUACAAGGAGCAGGUGAGCGUGGACCCCGCGGCACGGGGUGAGAGCGUUGCCGAGAUUGCCCGGCGCGCCAUGGGUGAAAUGCGGGGCGGCGUGGAGCUGCCGUCGACGUGCGGCGCCGGCGGCGCUGGGCUGCGCGUGCACGGGUUCGUGGUGGACGCGCGGACGCGCGGGGCGCCUGUGCAGAGCGCUGCUGCGCUGCGGGACGCGCUUGCGGUGCCUGCGCAGACGCUGUCGCUGGAGGACUUCCGCGCCGUUGCUGUUGGGCCGUCGGAGGGCGACGUGGUGCUGGUUGUGUCGCGCGAGGACGCGGAGGCGAAGGCGGUGCACUGGGUGAAUGGGGCGUCGGAGAGUGACCUGCUUGUGACGUACCCGCUGCCGGUGGAGGCGUACGAGGACAUGGGCGCGGAGGUGCGGUGGUCGGUGCCGUAGAGCGAUAUGCGGACGGGCUCUUGCGAGGUGCAGGGUUGUGGGGGCGGAGGUGCUGUGGGCGGGUGGCGGAGUGACGCAUAUUCCGUGCGCGUCGCGGCCGUGGCGUGCUGGGCGGUGUGCUGGAGAUGGCAAGCGGUGAUGCACAACGGAGCGUGUGUGAGCGGUGCGCCUCUCUCCCUUCAGCAACGCCCGCCUGCUGCUUGCAGCGGUGUUCAUAGGCGGCCUGACUCUCCCUCGCUCUCUGUGUGUGUGUGCUUGCGCCCCUCAUGCCCUUGAUCUGGCUCGCUCAGCGCUGGUGCUUGGCAAUGAUGCGGGGCGGUGUGGUGGCGCUGCCCCGCCCCCGCCGCUGAACUGGCAUGCGUGCUUUCGUGGCCGUUUUCCUUCUUUUCCCCGCGCCCUCUACGUCACACACUCGAUGAAGAAGGAUGCGGGCGGUGUCGCUGAGUCCUUGCGCCUGAGGUGGGCAUGGGCGGCAAUGAGACUGCGCAGUUGGCCGCGUUGGUGGGGGCGGACGGGUUGGCGAUGCGUGUGCGUGUGCGUCUCUCUUGUUGUUGUUGACACAUGUUUUCUUAGUUUUCUCAUCAUUCUCUUUUCCAGUGAUGUUUUUAUCUUUUCCGCCUUGUUUUGGGGUACAUGCUGAUCGGCGCACGCUCUCGGGAGCGUGCGUGCGUGUGCAGUGCCCUCCCUCGAAGUGGUCAACACGGCUGUGCUGUGGUGAAGAGGGCAGACGGGAGUGGAGGGGUAUCGCAGGAUGCUGAGGUCAGUUACGGGGGAGCGAGAGGCAGGCUGCAGGUGGCGGGUGGUGAUGUAUUCCCCUGAGGACGUGCACGCGCAGUACAAAGGCUACCGCCCUUUUCGCCCCUUCCUCUCUUCACCGCUGCCGUUCUGCCUCCGUGCCCCCCUCCCUCCCUUCCGUCACGCGGUUUCUUUCUGGUGCCGCUUGCGAGCUCGCCGCACCGAAUCCUCGCGCGGCGUCUUUGCCCUCCUUAUCGGCGCGCGCGUUGAUGGUCGUUUCCUUUUAUUUUUUCCCGUGUCUGCUCAUUGAUGCUGAGGGAUGGGGAGGGAGGGGGAGGGCGCCGCGGUGCGUGGUAUUUUACAUACACACACACGGGACAGCACCCCGCCCCCCGCCCCGUCCACUUGGUGUGUGUGUGUGGGAGGAUGCUGUGCAGGCACCCCCGCCCUUUUAUUCCCGGGCAAACGUCGCACCACUGCUGACGAAUGCCAGGGCCCAGGCACCCACGACGUGGCGAGGUCAGAGGGAUGUAUUGCUGCUGAUGUCGGCGGCCAGACCCUGGAGGGCGCUGCGUCGGAGCGACCUGCGACGACGCACACGUUGGCGCCGUCCACAUCAUGGGCGGGGUGUCGGCGUGACUCAGGUGUAUGCCACCCCCAGCCCUGACUGCCCUGCUGGUGGGGUGGGGGGAGCCUGAGGAGGAUGGAGUGGGCAGAACUUGCGGCAGGGGCGCUGCUGCGGUGACGGAUUCGGCGCACUGCUGUACCGCGCGUGUCUGGCGGCUGCCUCGCACGGGGUGACGAGGGCUUGUGACUGGAGCCACUGCGAAGGCAGCCGGACCAGCGUAGACGCUGAAAAAAGUGGUGUGGCAGUCGCUGCGGAGUCGCUCUCCCGUCUCACGGCAGUCGGCAGGGACCCUACGGAAGCGGUGGGUGGCAUGCGGCGACGUAUCUGGGCACCAAUCCGGACGCUGCUGGCGCGCUACGUGCGCUUCUGAUUUCCGUAAUCUUGUGUCCACUGUGAGGAGGAACACGGCGGCGAAGCUGACAAGCGUGCGAGGUCCGCAGUGUGAGAGGAGGCGACGCCCACCGCACGGAUCGCGGACCGGAACACCGGUCUCAACUUCCGGGCGGACAUCCCCUGCGUCCGCGAUGUGCUUAGCGUGACGCUGCGACACACAGGCGGCGUGGCUGCGACGGCCCGACACCAAAGAGGAAGGCUGCUGGGCUCGCGAUGUGACGGGAGGCCAUGCUCGCUCAGCUCCGCGCGGGCGUCUGUCUGUGCUUGGGACUCGUGCAGCGGUAGGUGGCUGGCGGUGACAGCAUGGCGUGCAGACAGUGUGCUGCCCGCCACGGCGCUAGAGCUGUGGUGCCUCCGCCCCCCGUCCCACAUAUUUGUCUCGCUCUGAGGACAUCCGACCUGGCGUUGUGCCCGAUAUGCCACGCGAGAUUCGUGGAUCGCUCGAGGCUGGAGGCACACAUCGUUUCGGGCAAUGAUCUAAUUACGGGAUUUCGCUCCUGCGGCACGGGCGCCUCCCGUUGGGUGUCUGUGGUUGCCUCCCUGUGCCCCUCUUCAGAUCGACAGACUGCGAGAUCGCUGUGCGCAGGCACAUGCUGAUGCACGGGACUCUUUCGCUUGACAGACCCUCUCCUGGGAAAGGCAUGUGGGUGGAGGCCGUGGUAGUGGAAUGCCCUCCUUCCGCCACAGGCUCAUAGCGGCGUCCCACCUGCCGCGGCGCAUGUGGGCAAGCCAUCCAGAAACUUCCCCCACGCAAUAAAGCCGUUCCGAAGCCGGCCCCAGGAUCCGAUGGUGUGAGCACUUCGCGCACGCGCUGGCAGGCACAGAGGUGACACAGUGUAUCGCAUCGACACAAGGCAUCCAGAGGGCGGCAGACCAAGGGCGAUGGCCAGAAAAGGCGCGAAGGGCUCCCGUACCGAUCGGCCCCACAGCGCAUGUGUGCGAAGAGCACGUGGAGACGGUGCACCAGCACCGUCGCAGCGAUAAUCCGCCAAGUCACAUGCCGGAGCGUAUAGAUGCGAAGGUGGCGCGGAUGGACUAUCCGUAUGGGAUAGCGAAAGCAGCUCAGCGGCAACACUUACCGACACACUCACAUACACAUACUCCCAUCCCGUCUUUCCGGCUCCUGUGGUUCGUUGAACUGCCUCUUGGCUUCCCUUGGUCGCUCCUCUCAUCCUCCGAUAUCGCGUCGACGUCGACUUCUUUAUCCAUUUUCUUAGCGCGUGCGCACGCAUACAUACGUUUUUGUUUUGCACCCCCAUUCUUUUCGUUUUCCGUGACGAUGGUGAUGCGCCCUCGUGGAUGCACAGGAUCCAUGCGACUCAUGACCGUUUUCAAUGAC
Molecule: unclassified non-coding RNA, 6293 nt
Filed under: Leishmania donovani
Lineage: Eukaryota; Euglenozoa; Kinetoplastea; Trypanosomatida; Trypanosomatidae
Description: gene:unknown
Source: RNAcentral